RNAcentral lists this ribosomal RNA (723 nucleotides) under Vibrio sp. 1E02. RNAcentral describes it as "bacterial SSU rRNA". It matches the Rfam family "Bacterial small subunit ribosomal RNA", at positions 33 to 735 of the family's 1533-position model. Lineage: Bacteria; Pseudomonadati; Pseudomonadota; Gammaproteobacteria; Vibrionales; Vibrionaceae. The record is from RNAcentral.
ACGCUGGCGGCAGGCCUAACACAUGCAAGUCGAGCGGAAACGACAACAUUGACUCUUCGGAGGAUUUGUUGGGCGUCGAGCGGCGGACGGGUGAGUAAUGCCUAGGAAAUUGCCUUGAUGUGGGGGAUAACCAUUGGAAACGAUGGCUAAUACCGCAUAAUGCCUACGGGCCAAAGAGGGGGAYCUUCGGRCCUCUCGCGUCAAGAUAUGCCUAGGUGGGAUUAGCUAGUUGGUGAGGUAAUGGCUCACCAAGGCGACGAUCCCUAGCUGGUCUGAGAGGAUGAUCAGCCACACUGGAACUGAGACACGGUCCAGACUCCUACGGGAGGCAGCAGUGGGGAAUAUUGCACAAUGGGCGAAAGCCUGAUGCAGCCAUGCCGCGUGUAUGAAGAAGGCCUUCGGGUUGUAAAGUACUUUCAGUUGUGAGGAAGGGUGUGUAGUUAAUAGCUGCGCAUCUUGACGUUAGCAACAGAAGAAGCACCGGCUAACUCCGUGCCAGCAGCCGCGGUAAUACGGAGGGUGCGAGCGUUAAUCGGAAUUACUGGGCGUAAAGCGCAUGCAGGUGGUUCAUUAAGUCAGAUGUGAAAGCCCGGGGCUCAACCUCGGAACUGCAUUUGAAACUGGUGAACUAGAGUGCUGUAGAGGGGGGUAGAAUUUCAGGUGUAGCGGUGAAAUGCGUAGAGAUCUGAAGGAAUACCAGUGGCGAAGGCGGCCCCCUGGACA